AUGGCUUCCAGGGCAAUCAUCAGGAGAAGGAAGUAUAUUCUUGAGCAUACUAAUGGGCCUCGCCUAUUACAUUCAUCUAAGUUUACUUCCGGCCAAGGAACAUUUGGAUGUGAUGUUGAGCACAACACUGUAUCCCAUGUGCCGCAGCAGAAUUCGGGGGAUUCUAGCCAUGAGAAGCAGCAAUUUACUUUAAGGAAUAGAUACCUUUUGAGCCUUAGUAACUGGUUCCUGCGUCGCCCCGCCCUUGGUGUUCCUCUUGCCUCUUAUGAAUCCAAAGCACAUAUUUCUGUAUUCCCCUUGGGAGCCAGGUAUUUCCGGCAGUCAGUCCGCGCAGCGUCAGAAAAAGCUGGGCAGCCAAAAUCUGGUAUUACGAAUGGAAAGAGUGAGGACCAGAACCAACCAGAAAAGGAGGCGUCUCCAGAAGAGUGUGACCAGGCGGUGGAAGGCUUAAGCACUGCAAAGGCUAAAGCCAAAGCAAUGGUGCAGGAAGUCCAAAAGACUGACCAAUCGAUCAUACAGAAAUUCUGGGCAACACUUCUGGGUAUUGGUCCUGCUCUGCGUGUUAUUGCUUCAAUGAGCAGAGCCGACUGGGCUGCGAAGUUGAAGCAUUGGAAGGAAGAAUUUGUUUCUACGCUGCAGCAUUAUUGGCUGGGCACUAAGCUACUGUGGGCAGAUGUUAGAAUUUCAUCAAGAUUGUUGGUGAAGCUUGCUGAUGGAAAGAGCCUUACAAGGAGAGAGAGGCAACAGCUUACACGCACAACAGCAGACAUGUUCAGGCUUGUACCGUUCGCUGUGUUCAUCAUCAUUCCAUUCAUGGAGCUGUUACUGCCAGUAUUCCUGAAGUUGUUCCCAAACAUGUUGCCAUCCACUUUCCAGGACAAGAUGAAAGAAGAGGAGGCAUUAAAGAGGAAACUGAAAGCAAGGAUGGAAUAUGCAAAAUUCUUGCAAGAUACAGCGAAGGAAAUGGCAAAAGAAGUGCAAACAUCACGUAGUGGGGAUAUAAAACAGACAGCUGAAGACCUGGAUAAAUUUUUGGACAAGGUCAGGAAAGGUGGACAUGUCCCCAAUGAAGAAAUUUUGAGCUUUGCAAAGUUGUUUAACGAUGAGCUGACUUUGGAUAACAUUAACAGAUCACGGUUAGUAAACAUGUGUAAAUAUAUGGGAAUUCAGCCUUUCGGUACAGACAACUACUUGAGAUUCAUGCUUCGGAAGAAGUUACGAGACAUUAUGAAUGAUGAUAAGAUGAUUGAGGCUGAGGGUGUGGAGUCUCUUUCUGAUGAGGAGCUCCGACACGCUUGUCGCGAACGUGGCCACCUUGAUUUAUUGUCAACAGAGGAGAUGCGCCAUCAGCUCAAAGACUGGUUGGAUUUAUCACUCAAUCAGUCUGUGCCAUCAUCUCUUCUGAUUCUAUCAAGAGCUUUUACUGUAUCUGGGAAAAUGAAACCUGAGGAGGCUGUUGUAGCAACGUUAUCUUCUCUGCCAGAUGAAGUUGUGGGUACAGUUGGAACAGUAUUGCCUUCUGAAGAUUCUGUUUCUGAAAGGAAGAGAAAAUUGGAAUUCAUAGAGAUGCAGGAGGAACUUAUCAAGGAGGAAGAGAAAGAAGAAAAGGCAAAGCUAGACGAACAAGAGGCUAGUAAAGAAGAUUUGGCUUUGAAGGAAAUGACUGAGCCUACUGCUAGGGAAGAAGAGGAACUAAAGAAAUCAAAAGAACAUGAGAAGAAUGGCCACCUUUGUGAAAUCAGUAAAGCAUUGGCUGUGCUCGCAUCUGCUUCUUCUGUUACCAAAGAGCGAGAAGAGUUUCUGAGCCUCGUAAAUAAAGAGAUAGAACUAUAUAACACCAUGCUGGAAAAGGAGGGCACAGUGGAUGAAGAAGAGGCUAGGAGAGCAUAUAGGGUGGCCAGGGAGGAAUCAGAUCAUGCUGCAGAGUUGGUUGCAGGAGGAAAAGUUUCUUCAGCAUUAAUAGAGAAGGUUGAUGCCAUGCUUCAGAAAUUAGAGAAAGAGAUUGAUGAUGUUGAUGCACGAAUAGGCAACCGCUGGCAGGUGCUUGAUAGGGACCGUGACGGCAAGGUGACCCCGGAAGAGGUAGAAGCAGCCGCAGGUUAUCUCAAGGACACCAUGGGGAAGGAAGGCGUCCAAGAGCUUAUCAGCAAUCUUUCCAAAGACAGAGAAGGGAACAUCCUCGUGGAGGACAUCAAGAAGAUGGCGUCGCAAACGGAGGAAAACAGCAAGCCAGAAGAAACGGCGCGCUGA
RNAcentral lists this ribosomal RNA (2250 nucleotides) under Triticum aestivum (bread wheat). Its description in RNAcentral is "partial small subunit ribosomal RNA". Lineage: Eukaryota; Viridiplantae; Streptophyta; Magnoliopsida; Poales; Poaceae. The record is from RNAcentral.